AUGCCCGCCUGCAUCCCUAGGCUCACGUAUCGGGCUGAUACAGAUUCGCUAGGCAACUACUUUGCUGGGUUGGAAAGCUGGGGAGAUCCCACUCCUAGACCAUCGCCCUUUACUCUGAAGGAGCUGGGUGAUGCCUGGGUUGCUGCUGCAAAGCGCCAGCUCAUUCACAGGCCCAAGUCACCGACCUGUGAGGAGCGGCUAAGGCGCCUGCGAGAGCAUGAUCGGAAGAGUUUGAUGAUAGCAUUGGGUGUCUAUGCUGAACAAAACAAUAUGCAACCUGCUGACCUUGAACUGAUAGAAGUGAAGGAAAGAAAUCUAGUCGACGAGGAGGGAAAGGGUUAUGUGCAUUUCAAUUUUCUUGUGAAAAUGCAACAUAACCCAUCUAGUUUGUUCUUUGCGGAGGUGCAUCCGGACUGUAGAGAGGGGGAGGAUGUGUAUCUUUGCACUCCUCUGGAAGCUAAUGACUCGGGUGACUGUUAUGGGUGCAAGGACCGUGCAAAGGAGCUUAUGCAUCCCAAUAGCGGUGGCUACUUGGGGGGGCAUAUGGAUGUUGUUUUCCCCUUUAUUUAUGUAAGUGGUGAAGAAAGUGAAGAUGAGGCCUGA
RNAcentral lists this ribosomal RNA (603 nucleotides) under Triticum aestivum (bread wheat). RNAcentral's name for it is "partial small subunit ribosomal RNA". The record is from RNAcentral. Lineage: Eukaryota; Viridiplantae; Streptophyta; Magnoliopsida; Poales; Poaceae.